This 519-nucleotide ribosomal RNA is filed under the name Gymnothorax buroensis. RNAcentral's name for it is "partial 16S rRNA". It matches the Rfam family "Bacterial large subunit ribosomal RNA", at positions 1919 to 2588 of the family's 2925-position model. The record is from RNAcentral. Lineage: Eukaryota; Metazoa; Chordata; Actinopteri; Anguilliformes; Muraenidae.
AGUGUUUAACGGCCGCGGUAUUUUAACCGCGCGAAGGUAGCGUAAUCACUUGUCUUUUAAAUGGAGACCUGUAUGAAUGGCAUAACGAGGGUUUGACUGUCUCCUCCACCCAGUCAAUGAAAUUGAUCUGCCCGUGCAGAAGCGGGCAUAAGCACAUAAGACGAGAAGACCCUAUGGAGCUUUAGGCAAAUGACCAGGCAAAACAAGUCACGGCCCUUAAUAGGCCUAGAAAAACAAAAGCUAAUGGUCAAAAUGCCUUCGGUUGGGGCGACCAUGGAGGAAACAAAAUCCUCCAAGCGGAAAGGGACAACCCUUGAACCAAGAGAGACACCUCGAAGUAACAGAAUUUAUGACCAACUAUGACCCAGGAUUUAACCUGAUCAACGGACCUAGUUACCCUAGGGAUAACAGCGCAAUCCUCUCCCAGAGUCCCUAUCGACGAGGGGGUUUACGACCUCGAUGUUGGAUCAGGACAUCCUAAUGGUGCAGCCGCUAUUAAGGGUUCGUUUGUUCAACGAU